This 76-nucleotide transfer RNA is filed under the name bacterium. Its description in RNAcentral is "tRNA-Pro". It matches the Rfam family "tRNA". Rfam says of the family: Transfer RNA (tRNA) molecules are approximately 80 nucleotides in length. Their secondary structure includes four short double-helical elements and three loops (D, anti-codon, and T loops). The record is from RNAcentral.
CAGGAAUUAGCGCAAUUGGUAGCGCGCAGCGUUCGGGACGCUGAGGCUGCAGGUUCGAAUCCUGUAUUCCUGACUA